UCUGCUCAGCAGUGAAAACAGGAGAUGUCAGUUAUGGUGAAAUUAUCAUCAAGGAUGAGAAAAAACAAUCACGGAUUAGAGAUCAAGAAGAAACUGGAGAAGAUGAAAUCAUCACUCACGUCAAGUACAACAUCAAAACAAUAAAUCAUCAACAACAACCAAUCAGACGAAGCAGAGAUCAAGAAGAACCUGGAGAAGAUGACGUCAUCACUCAUGUCAUGUACAACAUCAAAACAUUCAGUCAUCAACAACAACCAAUCAGACGAAGCAGAGGUAAUGUUGUGUUUUCUUCAAGGGGGGGAUGUCAAGGAGGAGGUU
Molecule: long non-coding RNA, 318 nt
Organism: Oreochromis niloticus (Nile tilapia)
Lineage: Eukaryota; Metazoa; Chordata; Actinopteri; Cichliformes; Cichlidae
Exons: 3
Source: RefSeq, a predicted model, not a curated record